Molecule: ribosomal RNA, 738 nt
Filed under: Ammonia sp. genotype T6
Lineage: Eukaryota; Foraminifera; Rotaliida; Rotaliidae
Description: SSU rRNA
Rfam family: Eukaryotic small subunit ribosomal RNA (bases 1-447)
Source: RNAcentral
CUCACGCGGGAAUCUUACCGGGUCCGGACACACUGAGGAUUGACAGAUAUAUACCCCGUGAUUUUAUCGCGGGGUUGAAAGAUGCUAGUUCUUUCAUGAUUAUGUGAUAGGUGGUGCAUGGCCGUUCUUAGUUCGUGGAGUGAUCUGUCUGCUUAAUUGCGUAUCAAUAAUAGAGACCUAGUAUACGCGUAGACUCAUGCGGUAGUGACCCCCCUUCACAGGGCGCGUGUCGCACGUAUGUUAUACGCACAGGUCUCCGAUAGCAACGAACGUGACCGUACUCUAUUGUUGCAGCGACAAUACCUUUCAACGGGUAUUACCGCUGCUUAGCAAGAUUCGUCUUGCAUUAAACUAUAGAGACCGCUGUUUCUUCUUUAAACCAGAGGAAGGAUACGGCAAUAACAGGUCUGUGUUGCCCUCAGAUGUUCUGGGCUGCACACGUGCUACAAUGAUCAUUGCACUGUGCAUCUAACCCAAUGUGCGCGGACGCCGCCGUGCGUAUAUACUUUAUUGUGUAUGCGUAUCGUGCGUGCGACCGCGCCGAACCUGCUUCGAAAGUAAACAUUUCCAGCGGGUAAUCCAUUAGAAGUAAUGACUCGCAUAGACCAUGGCACACUAUAUGUACCCGCGGGUUCUACCCGGCUCGCCUUUGUGUGAGUGCAGUGCGUAGCUCGUUAUUUGGUACGUGCCACUCCGUAUUAAUUCAUACGUGGGGAUAGAUCAUUGUUUAAUUGUUGG